Molecule: ribosomal RNA, 253 nt
Filed under: uncultured bacterium
Lineage: Bacteria
Description: partial 16S ribosomal RNA
Rfam family: Bacterial small subunit ribosomal RNA
Source: RNAcentral
GACAGAGGGUGCAAACGUUGUUCGGAAUUACUGGGCGUAAAGCGCGUGUAGGCGGUCCGCUAAGUCGGGUGUGAAAGCCCUGGGCUCAACCCAGGAAGUGCACUCGAAACUGGCGGGCUAGAGUAUCGGAGAGGUUGGUGGAAUUCUCGGUGUAGAGGUGAAAUUCGUAGAUAUCGAGAGGAACACCGGUGGCGAAGGCGGCCAACUGGACGAAUACUGACGCUGAGACUCGAAAGCGUGGGGAGCAAACAGG